GAUGAACGCUAGCGGCAGGCCUAAUACAUGCAAGUCGGACGGGAUUUCCGCUUUCGGGCGGGAUGAGAGUGGCGCACGGGUGCGUAACGCGUGAGCAACCUGCCCAUAUCAGGGGGAUAGCCCGGAGAAAUCCGGAUUAAACCCGCAUACGGAUAGAUAGUGGCAUCACUUUUUAUCGAAAUAUUCACAGGAUAUGGAUGGGCUCGCGUGACAUUAGCUAGUUGGAGGGGUAACGGCCACCAAGGCUACGAUGUCUAGGGGCUCUGAGAGGAGAAUCCCCCACACUGGUACUGAGACACGGGCCAGACUCCUACGGGAGGCAGCAGUAAGGAAUAUUGGUCAAUGGGGGGAACCCUGAACCAGCCAUGUCGCGUGCAGGACGACUGCCCUAUAGGUUGUAAACUGCUUUUGUACGGGAACAAACCUAUUUUCGUGAAAAUAGCUGAGUGUACCGUAAGAAUAAGGAUCGGCUAACUCCGUGCCAGCCGCCGCCGUAA
This 497-nucleotide ribosomal RNA is filed under the name uncultured bacterium. Its description in RNAcentral is "partial 16S ribosomal RNA". It matches the Rfam family "Bacterial small subunit ribosomal RNA", at positions 28 to 523 of the family's 1533-position model. The record is from RNAcentral.